CAGGCCUAACACAUGCAAGUCGAACGGUAACAGGUUAAGCUGACGAGUGGCGAACGGGUGAGUAAUGUAUCGGAACGUGCCCAGUCGUGGGGGAUAACUGCUCGAAAGAGUAGCUAAUACCGCAUACGACCUGAGGGUGAAAGCGGGGGAUCGCAAGACCUCGCGCGAUUGGAGCGGCCGAUAUCAGAUUAGGUAGUUGGUGAGGUAAAGGCUCACCAAGCCGACGAUCUGUAGCUGGUCUGAGAGGACGACCAGCCACACUGGGACUGAGACACGGCCCAGACUCCUACGGGAGGCAGCAGUGGGGAAUUUUGGACAAUGGGCGCAAGCCUGAUCCAGCCAUGCCGCGUGCGGGAAGAAGGCCUUCGGGUUGUAAACCGCUUUUGUCAGGGAAGAAAAGGUUCUGGCUAUACCUGGGACUCAUGACGGUACCUGAAGAAUAAGCACCGGCUAACUACGUGCCAGCAGCCGCGGUAAUACGUAGGGUGCAAGCGUUAAUCGGAAUUACUGGGCGUAAAGCGUGCGCAGGCGGUUAUGCAAGACAGAGGUGAAAUCCCCGGGCUCAACCUGGGAACUGCCUUUGUGACUGCAUGGCUAGAGUACGGUAGAGGGGGAUGGAAUUCCGCGUGUAGCAGUGAAAUGCGUAGAU
This 649-nucleotide ribosomal RNA is filed under the name uncultured bacterium. Its description in RNAcentral is "bacterial SSU rRNA". It matches the Rfam family "Bacterial small subunit ribosomal RNA", at positions 43 to 695 of the family's 1533-position model. The record is from RNAcentral.